GACUAGGUUUUUGAUACAACCACAUGUAUUUCUCUUGUUGGGAAUGGUGGUCUGAUGCUGAUUUUGUGGUCUUGGAAAAAAUCUAUGGAAGAUGCAAAGAACAACCAAUAAUAAUGACUAAA
This is a non-coding RNA of Arachis ipaensis, 122 nucleotides long. The record is from RefSeq and is a predicted model, not a curated record. Lineage: Eukaryota; Viridiplantae; Streptophyta; Magnoliopsida; Fabales; Fabaceae.